Molecule: ribosomal RNA, 570 nt
Filed under: Lactobacillus apis
Lineage: Bacteria; Bacillati; Bacillota; Bacilli; Lactobacillales; Lactobacillaceae
Description: bacterial SSU rRNA
Rfam family: Bacterial small subunit ribosomal RNA
Source: RNAcentral
CCUACGGGAGGCAGCAGUAGGGAAUCUUCCACAAUGGACGCAAGUCUGAUGGAGCAACGCCGCGUGAGUGAAGAAGGUUUUCGGAUCGUAAAACUCUGUUGUUAAAGAAGAACAACAGGGGUAGUAACUGAUAUCUGUUUGACGGUAAUCAACCAGAAAGUCACGGCUAACUACGUGCCAGCAGCCGCGGUAAUACGUAGGUGGCAAGCGUUGUCCGGAUUUAUUGGGCGUAAAGCGAGCGCAGGCGGGAGAACAAGUCAGCUGUGAAAGCCCUCGGCUUAACUGAGGAAGGGCAAUGGAAACUAUUUUUCUUGAGUGCAGAAGAGGAGAGUGGAACUCCAUGUGUAGCGGUGAAAUGCGUAGAUAUAUGGAAGAACACCAGUGGCGAAGGCGGCUUUCUGGUCUGUAACUGACGCUGAGGUUCGAAAGCAUGGGUAGCGAACAGGAUUAGAUACCCUGGUAGUCCAUGCCGUAAACGAUGAAUGCUAAGUGUUGGGGGGUUUCCGCCUUUCAGUGCCGCAGCUAACGCAUUAAACACUCCGCCUGGAGACCCCACGGCCCCAUAAAAUA